CCCUGAUGGCUCAAAGUAGACGACAGAGGGCAACACAGGUCUCCAUCGGGGGAGUUUUGUGACCACACAGGGAGGGAAGCGGGGUAGUCAUAGUAACAGUAUGAGAGGUACCGGGAAUGGGGAGGGGCUGUUUGAAAGUAAAGUUGUGCGGCGGAGGCCAAUGUUGGAGCAGAAACAGAAGAGAAAAACAACCUCAAAAGCCAUUUUCAUAAACAUGUAGCCACAAUUCUUCUGAUCACGCUCAGGCCUCCAGGGUGACAUGAAAAAUAAAUUAGUAUAUAUUCAAGAGAUUUCAAUAAAAGGCCACAUGGUCAUUUGAAAAUGCACAAGCAGCAGCAGAUGAAUUGCCUUUGCAACAUACAGGUACAAUUAAGUGCUCCAUCUUUCAUAUUGACCGUCUGCAGAACUGGAUCAUAAAGAAGGGGAUGUUUAUGACUAUCGACUGCAGUGGAAUUGCAAAGUUCAAUUCUGGUCAUGUAUUCCCCCCACCCCAUCCCAUAGCCAUGGUGCCAUGGUACCCUGGGGGUGAGAGAGAGAGAGAGAGAGAGAGACAGCGAGAGAGGAAGAGAGGGUGUCUGGGGUCGUCUGUUACUUAGGGACCGCUCUAUUCGAGUGACUUGGCAAACUCGAUAUAGUCUAUGUAGCCGUCGUUGUUCUUGUCAUCAUCCCUCAGCACGUCAUCGAUCAGAUUUAUCAGGUCCUCUUCUUUCA
Long non-coding RNA from Gadus macrocephalus (Pacific cod), 711 nucleotides. RefSeq lists it as uncharacterized. NCBI's taxonomy places the organism in Eukaryota, Metazoa, Chordata, Actinopteri, Gadiformes, Gadidae. The record is from RefSeq and is a predicted model, not a curated record. The transcript has 2 exons.